Lactuca sativa (garden lettuce) is the source of this 473-nucleotide non-coding RNA. The record is from RefSeq and is a predicted model, not a curated record. Lineage: Eukaryota; Viridiplantae; Streptophyta; Magnoliopsida; Asterales; Asteraceae.
UGUGAUGUGACCUUUUUCUUUGGUGAAAGACUUGUAAAUAAAGACAGUAUACGAAGCCAUGAACUCGUGAAAAGAAAUUAUUGUUUAUGUCUUGCCAUUCAUGCUCCUCGAAAGGGCAAUGUUGAGAUUUGGCAGAUGAGAAUGAGGCCUAGGAUUCUAAUCCCGUGCCCGAAAGGAAGCAAAAUACUGCAACCCACUUAUAGAUUUGGAUCGUCAACGCUUUCGGAAUCCUCUUAUAAACUGUUGGAAGUUUUCUUUUUGAAUGGAGAUUCUGGUAAACUUUCAAGAUUAAAUUGAUUGUUGUUUUUCUUUUAUUUGUGUAGGGUUUCUUGUGUUUACGGUGGUAAAUUAGAAGGGGUUGUUUAGGGUUUUCUUAUUUAUCAAAAUGGAGUUUAGGAAAAUGUGUUUGUAUUAGGUUAUGGGCUACUAAAACAUAAUAAGUUUGAUAAUUUUUUUUUGGCAUUUGAUAAAAA